AUGCAGGUAUGCAAAGGAGUGGACACUAGAAGGAGAUUUUUGUCAUGCCAAUAUGAGGAGAUGUGUGGUUAUGUCAAAUGGAUUGACAAGCCAUGGGAGGGGAGGGAAAGAACUGUCAUUGAUGAAGUUGCUAACAACAAAGAGGUGCUAGAGAAGAAGCUAAUGCAGAAAGAUGGUCAAAUAGAAACUGAGGAGAAGCACGGACUUGAGAAGAAGAAGAUUGGAAGGAUGCACAAAGAUCAGUUACAAUCUAGAGAUAGGACGAUUAUGUUUGUUCUGUUCAUGUACUUUGGGUUAGUCGUAAUCAUGUUUGUUGUGGUUGACAAGAAGUAA
This 333-nucleotide ribosomal RNA is filed under the name Triticum aestivum (bread wheat). RNAcentral's name for it is "partial small subunit ribosomal RNA". Lineage: Eukaryota; Viridiplantae; Streptophyta; Magnoliopsida; Poales; Poaceae. The record is from RNAcentral.